UAGGGAAUCUUGCCACAAUGGGCGCAAGCCUGAUGGAGCAACACCGCGUGAGUGAAGAAGGGUUUCGGCUCGUAAAGCUCUGUUGUUAAAGAAGAACACGUAUGAGAGUAACUGUUCAUACGUUGACGGUAUUUAACCAGAAAGUCACGGCUAACUACGUGCCAGCAGCCGCGGUAAUACGUAGGUGGCAAGCGUUAUCCGGAUUUAUUGGGCGUAAAGAGAGUGCAGGCGGUUUUUCUAAGUCUGAUGUGAAAGCCUUCGGCUU
RNAcentral lists this ribosomal RNA (265 nucleotides) under uncultured bacterium. Its description in RNAcentral is "partial 16S ribosomal RNA". It matches the Rfam family "Bacterial small subunit ribosomal RNA", at positions 355 to 610 of the family's 1533-position model. The record is from RNAcentral.